This 405-nucleotide ribosomal RNA is filed under the name uncultured bacterium. RNAcentral describes it as "partial 16S ribosomal RNA". It matches the Rfam family "Bacterial small subunit ribosomal RNA", at positions 29 to 526 of the family's 1533-position model. The record is from RNAcentral.
AUUGAACGCUGGCGGCAGGCUUAACACAUGCAAGUCGAACGAGUGGCGGACGGGUGAGUAAUGCUUGGGAAUCUCGCUUAUGGAGGGGGAUAACUACGGGAAACUGUAGCUAAUACCGCGUACCAUAGGAUGAGCCCAAGUGGGAUUAGGUAGUUGGUGAGGUAAAGGCCCACCAAGCCGACGAUCUCUAGCUGGUCUGAGAGGAUGACCAGCCAAACUGGGACUGGGACACGGCCCAGACUCCUACGGGAGGGAGCAUGGGGGAAUCUUCCGCAAUUGACGAAAGGUUAAGGAGCAACGCCGCGGGAGUGAUGACGGCCUUCGGGUUGUAAAGCUCGUUAAGCGGGACGACGGUACCGGAAGAGAAAGCAACGGCUAACUACGUGCCAGCAGCCGCGGUAAUAC